Molecule: ribosomal RNA, 477 nt
Filed under: uncultured Caldilineaceae bacterium
Lineage: Bacteria; Bacillati; Chloroflexota; Caldilineae; Caldilineales; Caldilineaceae
Description: bacterial SSU rRNA
Rfam family: Bacterial small subunit ribosomal RNA
Source: RNAcentral
GAUGAACGCUGGCGGCGUGCUUAACACAUGCAAGUCGAACGUGAAGCCGUGACUGAUUACUUCGGUAUGAUUUUGCGGUGGAAAGUGGCGAACGGGUGAGUAACACGUGGGUGACCUGCCUCAAAGCGGGGGAUAACCAUUAGAAAUGGUGGCUAAUACCGCAUGGUCCUGUUUAUAUGGGAAUAUUUACAGGUAAAACUCAGGUGCUUUGAGAGGGGCCCGCGUUCGAUUAGCUAGUUGGUGGGGUAAUGGCCCACCAAGGCAAUGAUCGAUAGCUGGUCUGAGAGGACGAUCAGUCACACGGGAACUGAGACACGGUCCCGACUCCUACGGGGGGCAGCAGUGAGGAAUAUUGCACAAUGGGGGAAACCCUGAUGCAGCAACGCCGCGUGGAGGAUGAAGGCCCUUGGGUCGUAAACUCCUUUUUUGAGGGAAGAGAAAGGACGGUACCUCAAGAAUAAGUCACGGCUAACUACG